UAUUAAUGAUUUGAUUUAUAGAUUUUUAAAGCAAUACAAGAUUGAAUUUAGCAGAAGGCUAAAUUUCUGCUCUGGAGACAAAAAAGGAAGACAGCGAAAAUGACCAGUCAAAAUAAAGAUAAAGAGACAAAAAACUGUGUAUAUUUUGGUGUAGAUGAUUUAUCUUCAUUUUGUUAUAAUAAAACAAAAAAUGUUAUUAAACUUUGGGAUUUACCUGUAACUCCAAACUCUUUACAGAAGUUCAAUGAUUGCUCUGAGAAGUUGAAUGAACAAAUUUAUUAAAUGAUAAAGUUGUAUCCUUGAAAGAUAUGCUGGUAUUAUUGGCACAAUGGGCAAGCAUUGAAGUGCAACUUGGUGAAAUACAAAACACAUCAAAUUCAGUUAUAAAAAUUUGAGUAACAAAGGUCAAUUAUUUGGCACAAUUUGGAGUUAAAGACAAAGGAGAUUGUAUAUGUUAUUUACUAAGAAUUGGUUUUUAAAAUGGCAUAGCUGUAAAAUUAAACUAUACAGUGAGAGGACAAAAAGUUGGAAUAGGAAAAAUGUUGAUUGCAUAUGUUGCUAUUGAAACUGUGAAGUCAAAUAAGCAUGGCUUAUGCAGACAUGUGAUAGAGAUAGAGGAAGA
Molecule: long non-coding RNA, 622 nt
Organism: Hydra vulgaris (swiftwater hydra)
Lineage: Eukaryota; Metazoa; Cnidaria; Hydrozoa; Anthoathecata; Hydridae
Source: RefSeq, a predicted model, not a curated record